GAGCACCCGGCUGAUAACCGGGAGGUCGCAGGUUCAAAUCCUGCCUCGUCCA
This 52-nucleotide transfer RNA is filed under the name Candidatus Poseidoniales archaeon. Its description in RNAcentral is "Marine Group II euryarchaeote (marine metagenome) tRNA-Leu". It matches the Rfam family "tRNA", at positions 21 to 71 of the family's 71-position model. From Rfam's summary of the family: Transfer RNA (tRNA) molecules are approximately 80 nucleotides in length. Their secondary structure includes four short double-helical elements and three loops (D, anti-codon, and T loops). The record is from RNAcentral. Lineage: Archaea; Methanobacteriati; Thermoplasmatota; Candidatus Poseidoniia; Candidatus Poseidoniales.